Molecule: non-coding RNA, 78 nt
Filed under: uncultured Escherichia sp.
Lineage: Bacteria; Pseudomonadati; Pseudomonadota; Gammaproteobacteria; Enterobacterales; Enterobacteriaceae
Description: Nucleoid-associated noncoding RNA 4 (CssrE)
Rfam family: Nucleoid-associated noncoding RNA 4 (CssrE)
About the family: In E. coli small RNA transcribed from repeated extragenic palindromic element (REP325) called nucleoid-associated ncRNA 4 (nRNA4) collaborates HU protein in condensing the DNA. The secondary structure but not the sequence of the RNA is important in nucleoid condensation. Also identified in Shigella as CssrE.
Source: RNAcentral
GACGGAUAAGGUGUUUACACCGCAUCCGGCAACCGUGCGCCGCUACCUGAUGCGACGCUUGUCGCGUCUUAUCAGGCC